GGCCGGUCAUUCACCCUCAAGUACCAGCUCCCGAACGAAGACCUCGACUCCUUGGUCUCUGUUUCCUCCGACGAAGACCUCGACAACAUGAUCGACGAAUACGACCGGAUUGCUGCCGUCGCCGCAGGCGGCGGUGCUCGAAUUCGACUGUUUGUGUUCUUCAACAAGCCGGCCACUGCCGCUUCGAUGGGCUCCAUCAGAUCCGAGUCGUGGUUCC
This 217-nucleotide long non-coding RNA is filed under the name Linum usitatissimum (flax). RNAcentral's name for it is "long non-coding RNA (LUSI_LNC000341)". Lineage: Eukaryota; Viridiplantae; Streptophyta; Magnoliopsida; Malpighiales; Linaceae. The record is from RNAcentral.